GGUUAAGCGACUAAGCGUACACGGUGGAUGCCCUGGCAGUCAGAGGCGAUGAAGGACGUGCUAAUCUGCGAAAAGCGUCGGUAAGGUGAUAUGAACCGUUAUAGCCGGCGAUGUCCGAAUGGGGAAACCCAGUGCAAUUCGUUGCACUAUCGUUAACUGAAUACAUAGGUUAACGAGGCGAACCGGGGGAACUGAAACAUCUAAGUACCCCGAGGAAAAGAAAUCAACCGAGAUUCCCCCAGUAGCGGCGAGCGAACGGGGAGCAGCCCAGAGUCUGAAUCAGCUUGUGUGUUAGUGGAACGGUCUGGAAAGUCCGACGGUACAGGGUGAUAGUCCCGUACACCAAAAUGCACAGGUUGUGAACUCGAAGAGUAGGGCGGGACACGUGGUAUCCUGUCUGAAUAUGGGGGGACCAUCCUCCAAGGCUAAAUACUCCUGACUGACCGAUAGUGAACCAGUACCGUGAGGGAAAGGCGAAAAGAACCCCGGCGAGGGGAGUGAAAAAGAACCUGAAACCGUGUACGUACAAGCAGUGGGAGCACCUUCGGGUGUGACUGCGUACCUUUUGUAUAAUGGGUCAGCGACUUAUAUUCUGUAGCAAGGUUAACCGUAUAGGGGAGCCGCAGGGAAACCGAGUCUUAACUGGGCGUUAAGUUGCAGGGUAUAGACCCGAAACCCGGUGAUCUAGCCAUGGGCAGGUUGAAGGUUGGGUAACACUAACUGGAGGACCGAACCGACUAAUGUUGAAAAAUUAGCGGAUGACUUGUGGCUGGGGGUGAAAGGCCAAUCAAACCGGGAGAUAGCUGGUUCUCCCCGAAAGCUAUUUAGGUAGCGCCUCGUGAACUCAUCUUCGGGGGUAGAGCACUGUUUCGGCUAGGGGGUCAUCCCGACUUACCAACCCGAUGCAAACUACGAAUACCGAAGAAUGUUAUCACGGGAGACACACGGCGGGUGCUAACGUCCGUCGUGAAGAGGGAAACAACCCAGACCGCCAGCUAAGGUCCCAAAGUCAUGGUUAAGUGGGAAACGAUGUGGGAAGGCACAGACAGCCAGGAUGUUGGCUUAGAAGCAGCCAUCAUUUAAAGAAAGCGUAAUAGCUCACUGGUCGAGUCGGCCUGCGCGGAAGAUGUAACGGGGCUAAACCAUGCACCGAAGCUGCGGCAGCGACACUAUGUGUUGUUGGGUAGGGGAGCGUUCUGUAAGCCUGCGAAGGUGUGCUGUGAGGCAUGCUGGAGGUAUCAGAAGUGCGAAUGCUGACAUAAGUAACGAUAAAGCGGGUGAAAAGCCCGCUCGCCGGAAGACCAAGGGUUCCUGUCCAACGUUAAUCGGGGCAGGGUGAGUCGACCCCUAAGGCGAGGCCGAAAGGCGUAGUCGAUGGGAAACAGGUUAAUAUUCCUGUACUUGGUGUUACUGCGAAGGGGGGACGGAGAAGGCUAUGUUAGCCGGGCGACGGUUGUCCCGGUUUAAGCAUGUAGGCUGAUUGUCCAGGCAAAUCCGGAUAAUCAAGGCUGAGGUGUGAUGACGAGGCACUACGGUGCUGAAGUAACAAAUGCCCUGCUUCCAGGAAAAGCCUCUAAGCAUCAGGUAACAUUAAAUCGUACCCCAAACCGACACAGGUGGUCAGGUAGAGAAUACCAAGGCGCUUGAGAGAACUCGGGUGAAGGAACUAGGCAAAAUGGUGCCGUAACUUCGGGAGAAGGCACGCUGGUGUGUAGGUGAAGUCCCUGCGGAUGGAGCUGAGACCAGUCGAAGAUACCAGCUGGCUGCAACUGUUUAUUAAAAACACAGCACUGUGCAAACACGAAAGUGGACGUAUACGGUGUGACGCCUGCCCGGUGCCGGAAGGUUAAUUGAUGGGGUUAUCCGUAAGGAGAAGCUCUUGAUCGAAGCCCCGGUAAACGGCGGCCGUAACUAUAACGGUCCUAAGGUAGCGAAAUUCCUUGUCGGGUAAGUUCCGACCUGCACGAAUGGCGUAAUGAUGGCCAGGCUGUCUCCACCCGAGACUCAGUGAAAUUGAACUCGCUGUGAAGAUGCAGUGUACCCGCGGCAAGACGGAAAGACCCCGUGAACCUUUACUAUAGCUUGACACUGAACAUUGAGCCUUGAUGUGUAGGAUAGGUGGGAGGCUUUGAAGCGUGGACGCCAGUCUGCGUGGAGCCAACCUUGAAAUACCACCCUUUAAUGUUUGAUGUUCUAACGUUGGCCCCUUACCGGGGUUGCGGACAGUGUCUGGUGGGUAGUUUGACUGGGGCGGUCUCCUCCCAAAGCGUAACGGAGGAGCACGAAGGUUAGCUAAUCCUGGUCGGACAUCAGGAGGUUAGUGCAAUGGCAUAAGCUAGCUUGACUGCGAGCGUGACGGCGCGAGCAGGUGCGAAAGCAGGUCAUAGUGAUCCGGUGGUUCUGAAUGGAAGGGCCAUCGCUCAACGGAUAAAAGGUACUCCGGGGAUAACAGGCUGAUACCGCCCAAGAGUUCAUAUCGACGGCGGUGUUUGGCACCUCGAUGUCGGCUCAUCACAUCCUGGGGCUGAAGUAGGUCCCAAGGGUAUGGCUGUUCGCCAUUUAAAGUGGUACGCGAGCUGGGUUUAGAACGUCGUGAGACAGUUCGGUCCCUAUCUGCCGUGGGCGCUGGAGAAUUGAGGGGGGCUGCUCCUAGUACGAGAGGACCGGAGUGGACGCAUCACUGGUGUUCGGGUUGUCAUGCCAAUGGCACUGCCCGGUAGCUAAAUGCGGAAGAGAUAAGUGCUGAAAGCAUCUAAGCACGAAACUUGCCCCGAGAUGAGUUCUCCCUGAGACUUUAAGUCUCCUGAAGGAACGUUAAAGACGAUGACGUUGAUAGGCCGGGUGUGUAAGCGCAGCGAUGCGUUGAGCUAACCGGUACUAAUGAACCGUGAGGCUUAACCUU
This 2902-nucleotide ribosomal RNA is filed under the name Klebsiella pneumoniae. Its description in RNAcentral is "23S ribosomal RNA". It matches the Rfam family "Bacterial large subunit ribosomal RNA". The record is from RNAcentral. Lineage: Bacteria; Pseudomonadati; Pseudomonadota; Gammaproteobacteria; Enterobacterales; Enterobacteriaceae.